ACCUGGCUGGCUCAGUCAGUGGAGCAUGUGACUCCUGAUCUCGGGGUUGUGGGUUCAAGUCCCACAAUGGGUG
This 73-nucleotide transfer RNA is filed under the name Felis catus (domestic cat). It matches the Rfam family "tRNA". Rfam says of the family: Transfer RNA (tRNA) molecules are approximately 80 nucleotides in length. The record is from Rfam by way of RNAcentral. RNAcentral also lists the same sequence under 1 other name. Lineage: Eukaryota; Metazoa; Chordata; Mammalia; Carnivora; Felidae.